GGCGGGGUAGCCGAGUGGUCAGGCGAGGGCCUGCAAAGCCCUAUACGCGGGUUCGAAUCCCGCCCCCGCCUCCA
This 74-nucleotide transfer RNA is filed under the name Nocardiopsis kunsanensis. RNAcentral's name for it is "tRNA-Cys". It matches the Rfam family "tRNA". Rfam says of the family: Transfer RNA (tRNA) molecules are approximately 80 nucleotides in length. Their secondary structure includes four short double-helical elements and three loops (D, anti-codon, and T loops). The record is from RNAcentral. Lineage: Bacteria; Bacillati; Actinomycetota; Actinomycetes; Streptosporangiales; Nocardiopsidaceae.